This 395-nucleotide ribosomal RNA is filed under the name uncultured bacterium. RNAcentral describes it as "bacterial SSU rRNA". It matches the Rfam family "Bacterial small subunit ribosomal RNA", at positions 975 to 1368 of the family's 1533-position model. The record is from RNAcentral.
CUACCCUUGACAUCCUAGGGAUCUUGCAGAGAUGCGAGAGUGCCGAAAGGAACCUAGAGACAGGUGCUGCAUGGCUGUCGUCAGCUCGUGUUGUGAGAUGUUGGGUUAAGUCCCGUAACGAGCGCAACCCUUGUCCUUAGUUGCCAACACGUAAUGGUGGGGACUCUAAGGAGACUGCCGGUGAUGAACCGGAGGAAGGCGAGGACGACGUCAAGUCAUCAUGGCCUUUAUGGGUAGGGCUACACACGUGCUACAAUGGGCAGUACAGAGGGUAGCGAACCCGCGAGGGGGAGCGAAUCCCAAAAAGCCGGUCCCGGUUCGGAUUGAAGGCUGAAACUCGCCUUCAUGAAGGCGGAGUUGCUAGUAAUCGCGGAUCAGCAAUGCCGCGGUGAAUA